Molecule: long non-coding RNA, 542 nt
Filed under: Chloebia gouldiae (Gouldian finch)
Lineage: Eukaryota; Metazoa; Chordata; Aves; Passeriformes; Passeridae
Description: Erythrura gouldiae (Gouldian finch) lncRNA (ENSEGOG00005017206.1)
Source: RNAcentral
GCUGAUCCCUCCCUGCUGCUCCUGCUGCUGCUGGUGGAAGUUUGGGUUGGAUUUGGCUGCGGAAGAGCAGCUUCCCAGCCCAGCUGGCACCGCCUGCAGCGGCUGGGGGAGGAUCCGCAGGCAUCUCCUCCCUGGGGAUGGGAUGGGGAUGAGGAUGGGAUAGGAGGACACAGCUCUCAAGACACUGUACCCGAGUAAGGAGCAUCGGGAUGCUGCUCCUGAAGGAAGAGCAGAAGGGAGAAAGAAAAGGGUCACCUCGGCCUCCAGGUCCUGCUGCCCAUUCCCUUGGAUGGUUCCCAGGACAGGCUCCUUCCGUCCCUGGCUCUGCCCUUCGCCCUUCCACAUCCAGGGAAUUGCUGGCAAUUCGGAACAAAGCCCUCAACACGCUGAGGAGGAGAAAAGUGUCCGGGCACCUUGGCACAUGGGGGGUGGCACCAGGACAGAUCCUCCUGUUAAACCACUCUGCUGGUGCAAUGCUGAGAUGUUAUUGCAGACGAGUGACCGGGCCUGAGCAUUCCAAACGUCUGGCUAAUGAGGAAUGA